AUUUCAGAGUGCGUAAAUAGAAUCGUUCGUACAGAAUCAUUUCCGUUUUGGAAAACCAUGGGCAUCACCACAGGCUGUCUUAGAACAGAAGCCCAAAACCAUGUGCUGCUUACUCAUUUGACAAAUUAACAAUAAUAAAGAACUAAUCAUUCAAGCAUGUAUAGCUUAUUUAAUUAGUUGUAUGUCUCCACUAGCAAACCCAACAACAAUCCAUCCAUCUUAGGUGCAUAACAGAGAAGGAAACAAAUGAAAGACAUCACAGUACAGCAAAGACUGGUUUCUCCAACAGAGACCCAAAUGUUAAAGGGCUUAGGGGGUGGGGGUGGGGGUGGUAGUGGUGUUAGGUUUUUGAAUGAUAAAGGACAUGCACUGACCCUGGUGCUUGUUGUCAAAUGCUAAGCAGCGAAUAUAAGCAUUUGGGUAUGCUUUUUUUGCAUUCAUGGAUUUCAUUGAGCACUUGAGAUGAGUCAUUGCAUCCAAACAUGGGGAGCUUCCACAUUGUCCAAUAUCUCCCAUCAUAGUAUCCUGGCAUCCGGCUAUUUUCUCUAUGCACAUGCCCCACCUCAUCGAAUUCAAGGCAAGGGAUCCAUUCCUUUUUAAUCAUGUAGUCAAUCUCCCUUGCAAUUGAAUCAUCAGAAAGUGCAGGAAGGUAGGACAAAGUCUCAUACUUCUUGUUAUUGAUUGGGUUCCAUGUCUUCAUACAAUGAGUUCUUGAGCCAUUGGAGACAGUUUUGCUGCUCCAUGCAAUAGAUUCAUUUGCAGGGAACAGUUGCUUUGUUGUGUUGGCUUUUAGGCCGCUGUAACCAGACCCAGCAACCAGAGCUGUAAAGAUCCCGGCGGCCGACAUCUUCUUGAACGAUACCAAGGAAAGAGAGAGGCAGAAGAGUAGAAGGACAACUGAUCUUAGUAGUUUUACUUGAAAAUAUGACAGAAAUGGUUCAGGAAACGGACAAAAGGGGCUGGCUUGGGUGUUUGUGAGAUGCUAAGCUUAGUGGAUUUGUUAGUGAGGACAACGGGCACAAGACGGUGGAGCGUUU
Molecule: unclassified non-coding RNA, 1037 nt
Filed under: Hevea brasiliensis (rubber tree)
Lineage: Eukaryota; Viridiplantae; Streptophyta; Magnoliopsida; Malpighiales; Euphorbiaceae
Source: RNAcentral